GGGAGCUUGCUCCCAGGCGUCGAGCGGCGGACGGGUGAGUAAUGCAUAGGAAUCUGCCCGAUAGUGGGGGAUAACCUGGGGAAACCCAGGCUAAUACCGCAUACGUCCUACGGGAGAAAGCAGGGGCUCUUCGGACCUUGCGCUAUCGGAUGAGCCUAUGUCGGAUUAGCUGGUUGGUGAGGUAAUGGCUCACCAAGGCGACGAUCCGUAGCUGGUCUGAGAGGAUGAUCAGCCACAUCGGGACUGAGACACGGCCCGAACUCCUACGGGAGGCAGCAGUGGGGAAUAUUGGACAAUGGGCGAAAGCCUGAUCCAGCCAUGCCGCGUGUGUGAAGAAGGCCCUCGGGUUGUAAAGCACUUUCAGUGGGGAAGAAAGCCUUGGGGCUAAUACCCUCGAGGAAGGACAUCACCCACAGAAGAAGCACCGGCUAACUCCGUGCCAGCAGCCGCGGUAAUACGGAGGGUGCGAGCGUUAAUCGGAAUUACUGGGCGUAAAGCGCGCGUAGGUGGCUUGAUAAGCCGGUUGUGAAAGCCCCGGGCUCAACCUGGGAACGGCAUCCGGAACUGUCAGGCUAGAGUGCAGGAGAGGAAGGUAGAAUUCCCGGUGUAGCGGUGAAAUGCGUAGAGAUCGGGAGGAAUACCAGUGGCGAAGGCGGCCUUCUGGACUGACACUGACACUGAGGUGCGAAAGCGUGGGUAGCAAACAGGAUUAGAUACCCUGGUAGUCCACGCCGUAAACGAUGUCGACUAGCCGUUGGGAGCCUCGAGUUCUUAGUGGCGCAGUUAACGCGAUAAGUCGACCGCCUGGGGAGUACGGCCGCAAGGUUAAAACUCAAAUGAAUUGACGGGGGCCCGCACAAGCGGUGGAGCAUGUGGUUUAAUUCGAUGCAACGCGAAGAACCUUACCUACCCUUGACAUCGUGCGAACUUGGUAGAGAUACCUUGGUGCCUUCGGGAACGCACAGACAGGUGCUGCAUGGCUGUCGUCAGCUCGUGUUGUGAAAUGUUGGGUUAAGUCCCGUAACGAGCGCAACCCUUGUCCCUAUUUGCCAGCGAUUCGGUCGGGAACUCUAGGGAGACUGCCGGUGACAAACCGGAGGAAGGUGGGGACGACGUCAAGUCAUCAUGGCCCUUACGGGUAGGGCUACACACGUGCUACAAUGGUCGGUACAAAGGGUUGCAAAGCGGCGACGUGGAGCUAAUCCCAGAAAGCCGGUCUCAGUCCGGAUCGGAGUCUGCAACUCGACUCCGUGAAGUCGGAAUCGCUAGUAAUCGUGAAUCAGAAUGUCACGGUGAAUACGUUCCCGGGCCUUGUACACACCGCCCGUCACACCAUGGGAGUGGACUGCACCAGAAGUGGUUAGCCUAACUUCGGAGGGCGAUCA
This 1385-nucleotide ribosomal RNA is filed under the name uncultured Halomonas sp. RNAcentral describes it as "bacterial SSU rRNA". It matches the Rfam family "Bacterial small subunit ribosomal RNA". The record is from RNAcentral. Lineage: Bacteria; Pseudomonadati; Pseudomonadota; Gammaproteobacteria; Oceanospirillales; Halomonadaceae.